Trachemys scripta elegans is the source of this 2750-nucleotide long non-coding RNA. RefSeq lists it as uncharacterized. NCBI's taxonomy places the organism in Eukaryota, Metazoa, Chordata, Testudines, Emydidae. The record is from RefSeq and is a predicted model, not a curated record. The transcript is spliced from 3 exons.
CCGGCUCCUUCUCUGUGGCGGAGCCCUUGGGCGGGGAAGGACGCCGGGCGCAGGCUUCAGCGGGCGAGCCUCGGCCGGGGCUGGCUCAGCUGCACCCGUGCGCCGUGUCUCGCUGCCUCUCUCCCCCUGGCGGACGCUGCUCGCGCCUGUGCCGGAGCCGAGCCGCCGCGGCUGCUGCCCUCCCCGGGUGCGCGGCGGCAGCAGCAGCAGCAGAGCCGGGCUAGGGAGGGGGAGGCUGAGCGCCGGCGUAGAGCGGAGCCGGGAGCCGCCGCCGCCGCGGGAGCCGGGUAUGCGUCUGGCGCUCGCUCUUUCCCCCCUUCUGCUUGCCCCUGUUUUUGGGGCUGAGUUGGUGAGAGUGGUUUGUGUGCGCGCGUGUCUCUGCCCCCCCGGCUCGCGGUGGAGGAGGAAGUCAGUGUUACUGCCGCUUGGAGAGACUUUUUAGACCUUCAGUCCUUCCUUAGCUGAUGCACAGUUUAUAAACAGCAGGAGUGUGAUUUUCGUUGGGUGCUCCACAGAAUUGGAAACUGACUGCCUUGUGACCAUAAAGAAGGUAGAAUCAGAAGAGAAGGAAAAGAUCUGAGCCUCUGGCCCAAGGCAUGGAAACUGUGAUUCUCCUCUCGAAACAGUUCUGUAAGAUAGCUGGCCGGGGCCAGUGUAAGCGCAGAGGGAGAGCUGAAUAACCUGAGCAGUGCUAGGUGUGGCUACAUUAUUUAUUUAUUUUUCAGAAUACAUUUUCUUGUGUCUGCAUACAGUGGUGGAAAAGUACCAUAAUCACUCCCACAGACUCACAUCCAGGCAGCAACAUUAGUUUGAUUGAAGUGUGCUGCUAUGACAGGAAAACGAGUCUGUUACCCAUCUAGUUCAUUCAACUCAUACUUUGAAAUAUCCAUAGAAUAAAGAUCCCUAUACUGGGCAUGAGUGUUUAGUGUAUAUGUAGGCUGAAAACUGCUACUGAAGUCAAAGUAGAAGAAUUUUUCUGAGUUAGGAUUGGCCCUUCCAGAGUUUUGUUGCUUGUUACCCAUUCAAGACUGUGUUCAUUAUUUGCUGAUCAUUGACUUCCUGUUGCCAAAUUAACUUUUCUUUUCUUUCUUUUUUUUUUUUUUUGGUAAUGAAUAUGAGAAGCUUAGAGAAGUCUUCAUAUGGCAUUUUUUUAAUUUUAACAGAUUAAAAGCAAAUCUCAUUUCUUCAAUAGCUAUUUUGGUGUUGCAUAUCUCAAUUUGCAGUGGAAUAGAAUAAUACCAAAGAAAUAAGAAUCUGGGUUUAUCUUUUUUUUUUUUUUUUUUGAAAGUUUUGAACAAGUUAAAACAAAUCUAAACUGUAUUCACAGUAAAUGAUACUAAUUAAAAUGUUGAGGCUGCAUUUAAAAAGAAAUGAAAAGAACUAUUUAGAGCCUUAUCUUUUGCAAUUUGAAUGUUUUUUCAUGCUCAGCUUUACGUAUUCAUUGAAGUAUUAUGCCUUGUACUGUUUCCCUGGUAAAUGCUGUUGCUAUUUGGCAUUUUAUGGGGUGUGGUUUAAACAACAGAUGGAGUUGAUAAAUAUAUAAAAGAUAAUAUAGAAUAUAAAAUCCCCCAAAAUGCUGGUUUACAGAUUCAAUAGUAGCAUUCGCAGUUUCUACCUUGCCAUUUAUCUUCGCAUAAACCUGAUUCCUAAUGGAGUCAGCUAAAUUAAACAAGUUAAGGUUCUCAUAAUGCACAAGUGUCUCCGCUGCAAAUUAACCACUAUCUGUACAAAAGUCACAAUGUGUGUCUGAAACAAUAUUUGCAAUCAGGUUUCUCUUAAAAGUGUUAAAGGGCAGCGGAGUCGGGGGAAUGAAGGUCCAGAUGGUUAAAUGGGGAGAGAACAUGAGGACUGCAUGAGGUUAGUACCCAAGUUGAGUUAACCUCCUUUAAACAGCAACAAGGGGCCAGGUUCCUCACUGCACUGGCCAGUGCUUGGGUGAGAGCAUACACUGCAUCCCUGUAAAAGGUAUCCUCUUUGUGCCAGUGUUGAGUCUGCUGUGGAAACCGAGCAGGAGCAAGGCUAGAGUAAGGCAACCAGGUCCCUAGGCACAGCACAACCUGGGGACGGGGGGCACAGCCCACACCCUCAGUUGGCAAAGCAGUGGCAGGGGAACUCCCGGCAGAAGCAGUGGCAUGGGGUCACCUCUCUUCUGCCUGGCCAGAAAUCCAGGGUUGACAGCACAGUGGGAGUCUGGUACUUGCCCUAGAAGUCAGAGUGUAUCUGCUUUGCUUUGGGAAAGCUCACAAAAACAGGGUUUGGGGAUUGUUUUUGGUUCUUCCUGGUUUCAGCUAGCUCAGAAGCACUACAGUACCCUUUCCCUUGGUAUUCCUAUUGCUCUCAAUUACUUUUAGUCAGGAGAAAUAACGUAUAUGUAUGGCAAAACAGUUAUAUAUGAGGUGCAGGAACAGACCCGUAAUAUCCCCUCUGCUGACCUGAUCCUUUCUGGGGUGGGCAAUGAGCAAUUAUAUGACAAUUAUACACUAAUUUCAUAACUACAGAAGAAACCUUGUAACGCAUAACCUAUGGCACAGUAAAUGUAUACUUCUAAAAGACCUAUAUUUUUAAACAGUUAUACCUUUAUCUAGUAUUUGCUUUAACUGGUUUCACCAGCUGGUCAUGAUUAGGAGUAUGAAACAGCUUUCAUAUGAGGAGAGAUUAAUAAGACUGGGACUUUUCAGCUUGAAAAAGGGAUGACAAAGGGGCAUAUGAUAUAGGUCUAUAAAAUCGUGACUGGUGUGGAGAAAGUAAAU